GGUCGAGUUCCUAGAUGGUCUGGGGUCUAGUCUGCAAAACUAGAUUUUGAGGGUUCAAAUCCCUUCUUGGCUUCCA
This 76-nucleotide transfer RNA is filed under the name Klebsiella pneumoniae. RNAcentral's name for it is "tRNA-Cys". It matches the Rfam family "tRNA". From Rfam's summary of the family: Transfer RNA (tRNA) molecules are approximately 80 nucleotides in length. Their secondary structure includes four short double-helical elements and three loops (D, anti-codon, and T loops). Lineage: Bacteria; Pseudomonadati; Pseudomonadota; Gammaproteobacteria; Enterobacterales; Enterobacteriaceae. The record is from RNAcentral. RNAcentral also lists the same sequence under 1 other name.